RNAcentral lists this ribosomal RNA (253 nucleotides) under uncultured bacterium. RNAcentral describes it as "partial 16S ribosomal RNA". It matches the Rfam family "Bacterial small subunit ribosomal RNA", at positions 524 to 776 of the family's 1533-position model. The record is from RNAcentral.
UACGUAGGGUGCAAGCGUUGUCCGGAAUUAUUGGGCGUAAAGAGCUCGUAGGCGGUCUGUCGCGUCGGAUGUGAAAAUCCAGGGCUCAACCCUGGACCUGCAUUCGAUACGGGCAGACUAGAGUUCGGUAGGGGAGACUGGAAUUCCUGGUGUAGCGGUGAAAUGCGUAGAUAUCGUAAGGAAGACCAGUGGCGAAGGCGGGUCUCUGGACAGUUCCUGACGCUGAGGCACGAAGGUCAGGGGAGCAAACGGG